Molecule: long non-coding RNA, 1044 nt
Filed under: Papio anubis (olive baboon)
Lineage: Eukaryota; Metazoa; Chordata; Mammalia; Primates; Cercopithecidae
Description: lncRNA (ENSPANG00000048370.1)
Source: RNAcentral
GUCUGCAUGUGCAUGCGUUUGUGUGCCUGCGGUGGUGAUAACGCGGUCUGUGCAUGUGCUUCAGGUACCCGUGCGUCUGUAUGCCUGUGUGUGUGCAUGUGUGUGUACCUGUGUGUGCGCCCUCUGCGUGCCCUGUUCGGGCAUGUACUGUGCAUAUGUGUGGUGCCCGUGUGUGGUUAUCGUGCAGCUCACAGCCAUUGCUGUGAACUCUGGACCUUGGUGACUUUGCUGUGUCCUUUGCUGUACCCAGCGGUGAUCUCUGUCGCUGUUUUCCUAAAUUUCAUCUCUCGCUAAGUUAAUAAGUGCUUUGAGUGCUUCUUUUCCAUGUCUAUGUGUGUUCAUGCUCAUUCUACCACCUGUUAUCACUCCUCACUGCUCUCAGCAGACCCCAAAUCGUCAUCUUUUUCAGGAAAUCCUAGAUCAGGAAUAAACCUCAGCAUAUUGAGAACUGUGUCCUCUGAGUUAGAUAAGAACGAAGAGGAAACAUUAUCCAGAGUUUCAUAACACAGGGUCCAUAGAUGUCUUUAGGAUGGAUAAAAUCAUAUAAAAUCAUAAAUCAUAUGUGAAGUGUGUGUGUGAGAUCAUAUUAUUGAAUGAACCUAGUGAGGUUAAAUAAGAAAAAGUAAAUUUGUUUUUUUAUCUCAACAGGAGCACCCCUAAGCUAUGUUCGGCCUUUGUACUGAGAGAGGAAGUUGCAUCUUUGGGUGGACACAGCCUGUGGCUCCUGUUGUACAAAGGGCCAGGCCCAGGAGAAGAAUGGAUUGGAGAAGGGACACCAUGUUUCACAGCUGUGACAUUUGCCAUCGGGCCUCAGGACACCCAAUGGCAGAGGUACCGUUACUGACUUUUACAUUGAUUGGUGCGUUAGUGUUCUUGGAUGUUCCUCCCCCAGCAUCCUCCAAUGCAUGUCCAUCACUGUGCGUCCUGCUUCUGCAGCCAUCCGCUCUUCUCUCUCAGUCUCCGGAACUGCCCUGCCCUCCCUGUGCAGACUCUAAAUGUCAGGGUGUCUUAGCAUCCCCCACACAGUUCAUGUGGAUGAAGUGA